Long non-coding RNA from Helianthus annuus (common sunflower), 593 nucleotides. RefSeq lists it as uncharacterized. The record is from RefSeq and is a predicted model, not a curated record. Lineage: Eukaryota; Viridiplantae; Streptophyta; Magnoliopsida; Asterales; Asteraceae. The transcript has 2 exons.
CAGUCCCUCUUUUGUGGGGACAAAAGCAAGUCAAAGUUUCGCGCAUCCAGAUCUGGGCGAUUUUCAACACCAAAAUGUACAAAUCUCUCCGGAUUUCAAGCUUAACAAUCAAAUUCCAUCAAAAUCGAAUGUGUAUGAGGCGGAUUAAAGCACUAAUCUUAGUGAAUCACAAAUUAAAGCAAAAAUAGAGACUGCAGGAUGGAAUUUCUCGGGUACGGCGAUUAAAUUCUCAAGUAAUGCUGAAAUUGAAGCUGCUAUUCGAAUUUUUGGUAUCAAAUCAUCCACGGAUCUGGUUUUUAAAAUUGAAGCUGAUGUGAGAAGCUGCAGAGUGAAACCUCUAAGCAGGAUAUGGAUAUUAAUGUUCUCAAAUCCUCUGGUGGUAAACAGUCUUCUUAUGCUAAAGCUAUAUCAGGUGCUUAGGAUGCAGUGCUUUGCUUGCUUUUCAUGGAGUCAAGUAGGAUUGAGAGUCUAGAAACAAAGACAAUUUAUUUUAUUUAAAUCUGAGGUGUCAGAAUAUGUUAUUCGUCUUUGAGAUACCGCGGUCUGUAAUAAUUUACUUGCUUAAUAGGUUAUGGUAUGGGACAUAAUAUUAA